This 310-nucleotide ribosomal RNA is filed under the name uncultured bacterium. Its description in RNAcentral is "partial 16S ribosomal RNA". It matches the Rfam family "Bacterial small subunit ribosomal RNA", at positions 503 to 807 of the family's 1533-position model. The record is from RNAcentral.
AAGAGACAGCAGCAGCCGCGGGAAUACAGAGGGUGCAAGCGUUAAUCGGAAUUACUGGGCGUAAAGCGCGCGUAGGUGGUUUGUUAAGUUGGAUGUGAAAUCCCCGGGCUCAACCUGGGAACUGCAUCCAAAACUGGCAAGCUAGAGUAUGGUAGAGGGUGGUGGAAUUUCCUGUGUAGCGGUGAAAUGCGUAGAUAUAGGAAGGAACACCAGUGGCGAAGGCGACCACCUGGACUGAUACUGACACUGAGGUGCGAAAGCGUGGGGAGCAAACAGGAUUAGAUACCCCUGUAGUCCCUGUCUCUUAUAC